UCCAGAAUCAUAUGCUUGUCCCGAGGACUAAGCCAUGCAUGCCUCUGACCGAAGGGACGACCGGGGUGUGUACGGAUAUAAUCCUGGAUAACCCCGGCCGGCCGAUAACUCAGCGAACGGCUCCGUAUAUCUGUUGUAACCUAUCGCGGUAAGUUUGACGUGGAUAUAGCACGGAAAAGCUGUGUAGAAAACAAAGAAGCCGGGGUGUUUCCCGGGCGCAUGACACCCGCCCGGGUUCAACGGGGGAAGCGGGCCUAACCCUAGUAUCCCAAUUCUCCCUCCCUGCGACCUCACCAAGUAGGCCGGCAAAAAGUUACGGCUGAAACUGAGGCCUCUUCUUCGGGCUAAUCCCCAGCCCCCGAUGGGGGUCGGUUUAGAUUACCACUAACAAAGCAGCGAAGAGACUAACCACGAGCGCGCGAUGGGCUUCAGACCUAUCAGCUAGAUGGUAGGGUAUUGGCCUACCAUGGCUAUGACGGGUACAGAGGAUUAGGGUUUGAUCCUGGAGAGGUAGCCUGAGAAAUCGCUCCCACUUCUAAGGAAGGCAGCAGGCGCGUAACGUUCCCAAUGCUAAUCCCAGUGAGGACGUGAAGGGACAUAACAAUGCCCCCCGCGAAGGGCGGGCAAUGACAAUGGGCGGGA
This 642-nucleotide ribosomal RNA is filed under the name Lycogala epidendrum. RNAcentral describes it as "partial 18S ribosomal RNA". It matches the Rfam family "Eukaryotic small subunit ribosomal RNA", at positions 22 to 523 of the family's 1831-position model. Lineage: Eukaryota; Evosea; Eumycetozoa; Liceales; Enteridiidae. The record is from RNAcentral.